This 460-nucleotide ribosomal RNA is filed under the name uncultured bacterium. RNAcentral describes it as "partial 16S ribosomal RNA". It matches the Rfam family "Bacterial small subunit ribosomal RNA", at positions 338 to 795 of the family's 1533-position model. The record is from RNAcentral.
CCUACGGGAGGCUGCAGUGAGGAAUAUUGGUCAAUGGCCGGAAGGCUGAACCAGCCAUGCCGCGUGAAGGUCAGUGCCCUUUGGGCGUUAAACUUCUUUUGUGCGGGAGCAAUAAUGGUCACGUGUGGCCAGACGACAGUACCGUACGAAUAAGCAUCGGCUCACUCCGUGCCAACAGCCGCGGUAAUACGGGGGGUGCAGGCGUUAUCCGGAUUUAUUGGGUUUAAAGGGUGCGUAGGCUGGGAGGUAAGUCAGCGGGUGAAUGCCGCCGGUCAACGGGGUGAAGUGCCAUUGAUACUGCCUUGCUGGAAUGCGGAUGCGGUGGGAGGAAUGUGGGGUGUAGCGGUGAAAUGCGUAGAUAUCACACAGAACACCGAUUGCGAAGGCAUCUCACGAAUCCGCGAUUGACGCUGAUGCACGAAAGCGUGGGUAGCAAACAGGAUUAGAUACCCUGGUAGUC